Molecule: small nuclear RNA, 188 nt
Filed under: Microcebus murinus (gray mouse lemur)
Lineage: Eukaryota; Metazoa; Chordata; Mammalia; Primates; Cheirogaleidae
Description: U2 spliceosomal RNA (ENSMICG00000026607.2)
Rfam family: U2 spliceosomal RNA
About the family: U2 is a small nuclear RNA (snRNA) component of the spliceosome (involved in pre-mRNA splicing). Complementary binding between U2 snRNA (in an area lying towards the 5' end but 3' to hairpin I) and the branchpoint sequence (BPS) of the intron results the bulging out of an unpaired adenosine, on the BPS, which initiates a nucleophilic attack at the intronic 5' splice site, thus starting the first of two transesterification reactions that mediate splicing.
Source: Rfam by way of RNAcentral
AUCAAUUCUCAGACUUUUAGCUACAAUCAAGUACAGUAUCUGUUCUUAACAGUUUAAUAUCUUAUAUAUUCUAUAACCAAGCACAAUAUAUUAAGUGGAUUUUUCGCAGAAAGAUGAAAUAGGAGUUUUUUCCAUCCAUUCCAUUCAUUGACCUGGUAUUGCAGUGCCUCCAGGAAUAGGCACAAAAA